Molecule: non-coding RNA, 425 nt
Organism: Pelobates cultripes (western spadefoot toad)
Lineage: Eukaryota; Metazoa; Chordata; Amphibia; Anura; Pelobatidae
Source: the annotation of a GenBank genome assembly
GAAUCCUCCUAAAACACCAAGACAAACUAAGAAAGCACGGAAAAAUAAUUCAAAUGCAUACUACUUCAGAAAACGUUUUCAGCUCACGCAAUCUUUUCCAAGCAGUGACUUAUGAACAAAGUUCUUAAAUCAAAACAGAGUUGCAGUCAAAAUAGCCAGUUCUGUUAUAAAAUUUGUACUUUCAUUUAUAACUCACCAUUGAGUAAAUAAAACACGUACUUACUUGACAAAGUGCGCUCAUUUUCUCUUUAAACUCAUUUCUAUCCAAUUAAAAAACAAAACAUUAAAAUAAAGAACAAAAUACAGACACACAAACCUCCAGUCUAAAGUUAUUUAUUGUGCAAAACGAUGUCACAAUGUAGCACAACACUCACAAUCCAUGUACAUUUAACAUAUAGAAGUAAUUAGCACCUUCUGGCUGUUUA